AUUGAUUUCAAUAAUCUUUUUUAAUUAUUAUUUUUAAAACAACUUUAUGUUGUUGUGUUUCACGCCAUAUUAUCAGACCACCUUAAGUGGGUCCGCCUUAAAUUUUGAGUUUGUGUGAUCGCUGUUGAUUGGUAGCUAAACUGCUGGUAAACUGUGUACAGACGUUUUACGUUCGAAUUGCAGAGAAAAAAAAAUUCUGGUUGCAACAUUGUGCAGUAUGAGCGAACCAUUUCACCAAAAAGAGGGGAAGCAAGGCAAGACGUGGCUGCAGCGGUCUGCAGACGUGACUUCUGAUCAAAUUCGAACCUCCUCCUAAAGAAACAAAGAGCGACAUUAUAUUGCGGGAUGACGUCACCUGAAAAUGACCAAUAGCGCGGCGCGCUGCUGAGCUGUGUGCCAACCGCUCUUUUUUUCAUGCAGGAGACUCAAGUUGGCUUCGCUAACGGACACAGUUUUGAACUCGUAUAUUAGCGCCAUUUAUUGCUGCUUGGACCACAGCAUCUUCGGAAUUUGUAGACAUCCUGGCAGCAUACAAUUAGUUCGAGGUGAGACACUGAAUUUGAGCAGAAACCAUAAGGAUACUCAAAGGACCUGUGACUCUCAGGAAAUGCAUCAAAUGAGAGGGACAGAUGAAACAGUUUCAAGACAAUGGCAGGAAAAACAUGCUGAAGAUUGAAACAAACCUUGGCUGGAAAUAUUUGAAAGUAUCUAGCCAGUCCACAAUGAAAAGCUUCGUUGCACCCCAUGAGUCUUCUGGCAGAAAUGAUGGCGCCUGUAUUCUUUGGUUUCCCUAAACAUCACACCCUGCCUGUUUAUACGAGGCUCUUCAAUUAAGUCUGCACCCAAAGAUUCAAUAAGAGAGGGGAUCCUGCCAGUCCAAAGUGAACUCCUGAUGGACA
Oreochromis niloticus (Nile tilapia) is the source of this 899-nucleotide long non-coding RNA. RefSeq lists it as uncharacterized. The record is from RefSeq and is a predicted model, not a curated record. NCBI's taxonomy places the organism in Eukaryota, Metazoa, Chordata, Actinopteri, Cichliformes, Cichlidae. The transcript has 5 exons.